This 253-nucleotide ribosomal RNA is filed under the name uncultured bacterium. Its description in RNAcentral is "partial 16S ribosomal RNA". It matches the Rfam family "Bacterial small subunit ribosomal RNA", at positions 524 to 776 of the family's 1533-position model. The record is from RNAcentral.
UACGUAGGGUGCAAGCGUUAAUCGGAAUUACUGGGCGUAAAGCGUGCGCAGGCGGUUGUGCAAGACAGAUGUGAAAUCCCCGGGCUUAACCUGGGAACUGCAUUUGUGACUGCACAGCUAGAGUGCGGCAGAGGGGGAUGGAAUUCCGCGUGUAGCAGUGAAAUGCGUAGAUAUGCGGAGGAACACCGAUGGCGAAGGCGCACAUCUGGCCCAAUACUGACGCUGAGGCGCGAAAGCUAGGGGAGCAAACGGG